Molecule: long non-coding RNA, 2428 nt
Filed under: Penaeus chinensis
Lineage: Eukaryota; Metazoa; Arthropoda; Malacostraca; Decapoda; Penaeidae
Description: uncharacterized LOC125034281
Source: RNAcentral
GGGGGGAAUCCCCUCUUCGGGAGGCGACGGCAGAGAAGGCGUCUCGAGUGCGGGAAACAAGAUAUACGAUGGGCAUUAAAGAAUUGCUUGCAAAGGAUUACUAUAGCCCUGUUGCAGAGAGAGGAAAGACAAGGCAUCAGCAAUAUGUUCUCUGCUUUUCAUAUGACCCUGAAUAAUCACAGAUCAUUGUAACGGAUCGGGUCGGAGUUCAAGCCAGUGAGUGGGCCGUGGCUGGACAGGAACAGCGGUCAAGUAUGGAAGGCCCCCACGACACUAGCAAGGAAAGUGACAGAAGAAAUGCACCUUCAGGAAGUUUCAGAAGAUGAAAUAUCAGGAGAAGAACUUUUGAUGCAGAUGUUUCUGUCACCAUAUAUAUGUGUGAUCCCAAACUCAAGAUCAUUUAUGUAUUCAUAUAUAUGGAAAGAAUGCAGUGACUCACAGAAUAUAUGGCUCAGUGUCUCUCUGUCAUAGUUGUAAUGAUUUUCUCACAAGAAGUUAGGAUUCUGAAUUAUAAUAAAGCUGAAAUAAUACAAAUAUUGAUGCUGUCACAAGAAAAGAUACUUGAGAUAUGGUGCAGGCAUUAUACAGACCUGUUUUAUUAUCUGCAAAGUGUGAAGUAUGAUGUAGGAUUCAAAUAAGGUAAGAAUGCUGUUGUAGAAUUCUCCCUGGGCUGUGUAUAUUUCUUAAUCUUUGGUGCCUUUCCUAAGUAUGAUCUUUGUUAUACUUGUGUCUGUUGGCAAAGGCAAGACUGGUAAAAUAAAUUGUUAUAUGCAAACAAGUUGUGUUGUCUAGAGUCUUGAAAUAAUUCUGCUGUGAUAAGCAUUUGGCUGUAAGAAAGAGCAUAUUACCAUAUGCAUUUUUAGCCUUUAAGGAUAUUACUAAAUACUCUAGUCAAAAAUAAUAUCAUAGUAAUGAUGAAAAUGUAUGAUAGAGGAGAUUUAGAUAUUAUUUUGUAUAAUUAUUAUUUUGGUGUGCACAUCGGACUUGGAGAAUUAGGAAGGAAAGCUUUUGCCUUGUCCUUUGGGUAAGGCAGGAUAUUAGAUAUAUGCUGACAGAGCACUUUGUUGAUAGUCACUGUAUUCUCUAGUUCUUUCACUUGUGUUUUCAAAAAUCAAAUAUUGUACAUUUUACUGCUAUGGACUGUUCAGAUUUAAAUAAAGAAAUUGAAUUGAAUAUUAGUCUGUAUUCAGUUAGGAAAUGUGCAUGUUGUCAGUAAGAAAAUGUAGAAAUUAUGGUAUAAAGUUGUAGUAUUCAUAUAUUUUGAUGCAUAUUUUUGUAUAAGCAUUGGUCAGUAAUGAACCAGAUAGUGCAUAUUGGAUUGUGUCAGAUGUAGGAAAGAUAUGAAUGAGAAUGAAUAUCUUCACAAUACAAGAUAUGCAUUUGAAAAGUUUCAAUAAUAUCAUGUAUAUCUGACAAAGAUAUAAUCAAAACUGGUCAGAUAGAUCUCGUUUUGUGAAGAUAUGCAUUCCCUUUUCAAGCAUAUUAUAUAUUUUGUCAGAAACAUUAUGUGCCUGAACAUAUUAUUCAGGUCUUACAUAAUUUUCACUUGAAAGAAUUUCUUUUUCAAUAGAGGAUGGACCAGUAAGUGAAAUAAAGAUGGAAUUUUUUAAAAUAUAUAUUUGAAAGAUUAUCUUCUCCUUCUCAGAAAAAAAAAUAUAAACACACACACACACACACACACACACACACACACACACACACACACACACACACACACACACACACACACACACACACACACACACACACACACAUAUAUCCAGAUCCACCAUGGUAUGACCUUUCCCAUAAAUUAAUAACAAAUUUCGUGGGCAACUUCACAAAAGACCUACCUCAUGAAAUAACUAAAAUGCAAUUUCAAAUGUUAAGAAACAAAAUAUGAAAACCACCAAAAGAUAUUCUCAGAUGCAUAAAAAUAAACCCAAUCAACACCAGCAGCAAUCUAUAUCGAACAAAACAAACUCACACACACACACAGACACACACACACACACACACACACACACACACACACAUUUAUAUAUAUACAGGAGAUCCUCGACCUACAUUGUCCUGAACUUUAAUCACCUGUAAAGAAUAUACAGAUUCAUUUGAGAAUUUGAAGAGUGUUCUCAUUUUUUAUGUUUAUUAUUAUUAUUUUUUUAUUAGUUUCAUUUUGCUUUACUGUAAGUAUGUUUUCCCUCUCAUUUUCCAAUGACCUUAUUCUGUUAUUAGAUAUAUGUGGAUGCUUUAGAUUAGGUAGUGACUUAGGUUGUUGUAAUUCCGACUUGCAAGGAAAAUCCCCUCACAUUGGACCGUAGCAAUGGAUCUCCAGCAUAGCUCAAAGACCCACUGUAUGUAUGUAUAAAUAUAAAUAUAUAUAUAUGUAUAUAUAUAUAUAUGUAUUUAUAUAUAUAUACAUAUAAACAUACAUAUACAUAAACACACA